Molecule: ribosomal RNA, 466 nt
Filed under: uncultured bacterium
Lineage: Bacteria
Description: partial 16S ribosomal RNA
Rfam family: Bacterial small subunit ribosomal RNA
Source: RNAcentral
GACGAACGCUGGCGGCGUGCUUAACACAUGCAAGUCGAACGGAAAGGCCCUGCUUGCAGGGUACUCGAGUGGCGAACGGGUGAGUAACACGUGGGUGAUCUGCCCUGCACUUCGGGAUAAGCCUGGGAAACUGGGUCUAAUACCGGAUAGGAGCCAUUUUUAGUGUGAUGGUUGGAAAGUUUUUUUCGGUGUAGGAUGAGCUCGCGGCCUAUCAGCUUGUUGGUGGGGUAAUGGCCUACCAAGGCGGCGACGGGUAGCCGGCCUGAGAGGGUGGACGGCCACAUUGGGACUGAGAUACGGCCCAGACUCCUACGGGAGGCAGCGGUGGGGAAUAUUGCACAAUGGGCGCAAGCCUGAUGCAGCGACGCCGCGUGGGGGAUGACGGCCUUCGGGUUGUAAACUCCGUUCGCUAGGGACGAAGCUUUUUGUGACGGUACCUAGAUAAGAAGCACCGGCUAACUACGUG